This 393-nucleotide ribosomal RNA is filed under the name uncultured bacterium. RNAcentral's name for it is "bacterial SSU rRNA". It matches the Rfam family "Bacterial small subunit ribosomal RNA", at positions 28 to 418 of the family's 1533-position model. The record is from RNAcentral.
GAUGAACGCUAGCGGCAGGCUUAACACAUGCAAGUCGAGGGGCAGCACAGGUAGCAAUACUGGGUGGCGACCGGCAAACGGGUGCGGAACACGUACACAAUCUACCUUUAUCUGGGGCAUAGCCCGGAGAAAUCCGGAUUAACUCCCCAUAAUAUAUCAUUUAGGCAUCUAAGAGAUAUUAAAUCUCCGGAGGAUAGAGAUGAGUGUGCGUCCCAUUAGCUAGUUGGUAGGGUAACGGCCUACCAAGGCGACGAUGGGUAGCUGGUGUGAGAGCACGACCAGCCACACGGGCACUGAGACACGGGCCCGACUCCUACGGGAGGCAGCAGUGAGGAAUAUUGGUCAAUGGACGCAAGUCUGAACCAGCCAUGCCGCGUGAAGGAUGAAGGCCUU